This 122-nucleotide unclassified non-coding RNA is filed under the name uncultured fungus. RNAcentral's name for it is "sequence contains ITS1". Lineage: Eukaryota; Fungi. The record is from RNAcentral.
CAGUGGUAGGCUUCGGCCUCAUUCACACCCCCUGUGUUCCCUCUGGUUUCUUUGGCGAGGUCUCUCGUCAAACUUUUAACGCUGAGAAUGUGGUACUGUCCGAGUGCGAUUGAAUUAUCAAA